GAUGAACGCUGGCGGCGUGCCUAAUACAUGCAAGUCGAGCGAACAGAUGAGGAGCUUGCUCCUCUGACGUUAGCGGCGGACGGGUGAGUAACACGUGGAUAACCUACCUAUAAGACUGGGAUAACUUCGGGAAACCGGAGCUAAUACCGGAUAAUAUAUUGAACCGCAUGGUUCAAUAGUGAAAGACGGUUUUGCUGUCACUUAUAGAUGGAUCCGCGCCGCAUUAGCUAGUUGGUAAGGUAACGGCUUACCAAGGCGACGAUGCGUAGCCGACCUGAGAGAGUGAACGGCCACACUGGAACUGAGACACGGUCCAGACUCCUACGGGAGGCAGCAGUAGGGAAUCUUCCGCAAUGGGCGAAAGCCUGACGGAGCAACGCCGCGUGAGUGAUGAAGGUCUUCGGAUCGUAAAACUCUGUUAUUAGGGAAGAACAAAUGUGUAAGUAACUAUGCACGUCUUGACGGUACCUAAUCAGAAAGCCACGGCUAACUACGUG
RNAcentral lists this ribosomal RNA (497 nucleotides) under uncultured bacterium. RNAcentral describes it as "partial 16S ribosomal RNA". It matches the Rfam family "Bacterial small subunit ribosomal RNA", at positions 28 to 507 of the family's 1533-position model. The record is from RNAcentral.